This 291-nucleotide long non-coding RNA is filed under the name Lathyrus oleraceus (garden pea). RNAcentral describes it as "Pisum sativum (pea) long non-coding RNA (PSAT_LNC024000)". Lineage: Eukaryota; Viridiplantae; Streptophyta; Magnoliopsida; Fabales; Fabaceae. The record is from RNAcentral.
GGUUUUAGAGAAAUGGUUUGAAAGUCUGGAAAUGGAUAGAAGAUGAAAAGUAUAGGAAUGGAUUGAAAAGUUUGAAAUGGAUUGAUUUGAGAAACUACUCGACGUUGGAUCAAGUUUUUUAUUUUUGUUAUUUUUGAAAAGGGGUUGAUUUUAUUCUUGUGUUAUAGACUAACUAAACAAAGUAAUUAGAAAAAAGAAUAAGGCGAUAAAAUUAUUACAUGUCAUGGGAGGGGGGGUACAUUUGGUUGAAUGGGGAUAUGAGAUGAUACAAUGAUUAAAUCGAAACCAAAU